RNAcentral lists this non-coding RNA (447 nucleotides) under uncultured phage cr60_1. The record is from RNAcentral. Lineage: Duplodnaviria; Heunggongvirae; Uroviricota; Caudoviricetes; Crassvirales; Suoliviridae.
AGACUAUGUAGGUUUGGUCGCCUACAUAGUCACAAUUGACUGUUAGGUCUAUGAAUCAGUCGUUAGGACGAGGGUUCGACUCCCUCAUGCUCCACAAAAAAUGGAAUAAGCAAGAAUAAUAAGAGGCCCGUAUAGAAAUCUCACGCUAAUUUUCGAUUUCUCUUUAAGAGUUUUUUCAUUAACAGCGAUAGGAAGAUCGGGAGUAGUACUCAAACUAUAAGUUAAAUUUUGUAAGAGUACUACUUUAAAUGGGGCAUCUAGGCAUUUGACUGCGACAAUGUGAAGUAGAAUAGGUCAAUAAGCAGAUAACUGGCAAUACAAGUUAUGUAAUGGAUUAUACACGCUUAGCGGCGUGAGAUAAACCAAACGGCUAAGCUAAUGUCGUAAAAAGCUGGAAGUAAGAAUAGCUCAGUAUGGAAGAGCGGUGAGAUAAUAUCAAAAGCUAGU